Molecule: ribosomal RNA, 447 nt
Filed under: uncultured bacterium
Lineage: Bacteria
Description: bacterial SSU rRNA
Rfam family: Bacterial small subunit ribosomal RNA
Source: RNAcentral
CUCCAGACUCCUACGGGAGGCAGCAGUGGGGAAUAUUGCACAAUGGGGGAAACCCUGAUGCAGCGACGCCGCGUGAGCGAUGAAGUAUUUCGGUAUGUAAAGCUCUAUCAGCAGGGAAGAAGAUGACGGUACCUGACUAAGAAGCCCCGGCUAACUACGUGCCAGCAGCCGCGGUAAUACGUAGGGGGCAAGCGUUAUCCGGAUUUACUGGGUGUAAAGGGAGCGUAGACGGCGAUGCAAGCCAGAUGUGAAAGCCCGGGGCUCAACCCCGGGACUGCAUUUGGAACUGUGUGGCUGGAGUGUCGGAGAGGCAGGCGGAAUUCCUAGUGUAGCGGUGAAAUGCGUAGAUAUUAGGAGGAACACCAGUGGCGAAGGCGGCCUGCUGGACGAUGACUGACGUUGAGGCUCGAAAGCGUGGGGAGCAAACAGGAUUAGAUACCCCUGUAA